AUAAUACUGAAAUUGGCACAGACAGUUCUGUAACAGAUGCUCACGAAGACUGAGAAACCUAUAAAAAUAGAGAUCUAUGUCAAAAAGAAUCUUAGAACAUAGGGGUCAGGUGUAUAAUUAGAACCAGCAAUCCAAAUACUUACAUUGUACAAAUAUUGCUUUGUGGAAGAAAGUUUGCAAACAUUCAGCACAUGAAAGAGAAUUACUUGCCCUAAAACACCAUAACAUGUCAUAAUUCCACCUUAAGCAAUACAGUUAUGAAAGGGGCUAUUUUUAGCUUUCCCAUGGUUGUUAUGGCAACCACCUCCUGGCUCCAGCUGUACACAAUGUUUAUAAUUCCAGGGAAGUGAAAAGAGCAACUUUCCUCUAUAAUGUAAUUAUGUACUUUCUACAUCUAUGGUAACAAUACCUUAGUUUGAUUAUAGGUAUUUGUUUAGCGAUAGUCAGUUGGCCCUAGGCUAUAGUUCUAGAGGGUUUGGAAAAUCUCCCACAUCAGAGGUGGAAGCAGUGGAAGGAAAACAACAACAAAGGAUCAUGAUAAAGGACUCUGCUGUUACUCAAUGGAGAUACUAAUGCUAUGGAAACCAGCCAUAGGAAAUAAGCCAUUUGGGGAUGGUGUAAAGAGCAGGCUAUAAUGAAACCACUUAUAAUAUGUAAGAUAACAGAAAUCUACAACAUAUUUCUCAAUCAAAAUGAAGACAUUCGGCAUGUACUAGCAGAACCAAUUCAAACUGGAACAAAGAUGGGGCGAGUGGACAUUGCCUUUUCCUCCAAGGGUUGGUUUGACAUCUUAUAAUCACUUUAUAUAACAGCCAUUCUCCCAGUAAAAAGUGAAAAACCAGAGGAAGAGGUCUUGCUUCAUCCAACUCCACUGAUUUUGGCUUUGAGAGAAUACAGCUUUAAGAAGGUAUUCCCGGGAAUAUCCCAGGAACUCUAUCCGCCCCCUCAGAAUAGUAGGCAAUUGAGUUAGUGAUGGUGACUCAGGCAGGCUUUUUCAUCCUGAUCUAAAGGAACCACUACAACCCUAGAGAGAGAAAUAAAAAGGGAAUCGAGUGGAAAAGGCCUCCACCACCGAUGACUCAUGCUCUACUGUGACUCGCCUGGUACAUCACUCUGUGGCUAAGACAUGGAGGCUUGGUUCAUUAGUCACUUCAGUGAUUUUUUCAAAGCAAGGAUUCUCCCUCUAAAUAAUCAUGAGCUCUGCUUCCACAGUGUUUGUAUGUGAGCUUGUGACUCACCUUUCCACCAUGCCAGGCAGUACCAAUUGUGUCAUCUGCAAGAGAGAAAGCAAAACAUUCAUGAUGGCCAAGGAUGCAGGCAACAGAAAAAGAGUGAAGAAAACUCACCCACACUAAAAAGAAGGGAAUCAUGAAACCAUUCACCACUUCUACAGACAGCAGGUUAUUUUCUGUACACUGUAGAAUGUGACUGUGUCAAGAGGGCAUAAAAAGGAACCAGCUGAAAUUACUGGAGAGAACACAGGGAAUACUUUAAUGAACCUGGCUAAAAUUAGUCUUGCCUGAAAUGUAAUACUGGCACAGAGUUCUUCAAACAAUGAAGGAUUUACAGUGAAAAUCUACAUUUCCCAAAAUGCAUUCUCAGAAAAGAAUAUAUGUUAUCAGAAGAAAUAUCCUGCCUACCAAGAUGACUUAAGCUUUCUAACCUCAAGAGCUCACAUAAACUUUUCCAGCCAAAAAAAGUCUUUAAAAGAAUACGAUAAAGUGGUAGGUUGGCAAAGAGUAAGUGUAACUUCACAUUCAUUUCUCUUGUUGGUCUAGUUAGCUGUAAGUAAAACUCAUCCUUAAAGAGAGUUAAGAUGUGAUCUCUAGUAACCAACAUGAAAAGGUGACAUCUGCAUUUUUUAAGGACUCCAUAAUUGUUGACUAAAUACAUAUAAUGAGAGGGGCUAUUUUUAAACUCUGUUUUGAUAUAUUAUUAACCAAGAAAAGUUCAGAAGUCCAAUGGUUUAGUCAAAAUCACCUCACAGUUAAAUACCGAGGCUGUAACGUGAAUUUCUGACUCCUGGAUAUCAUCAAUUCUCUAAGAAACAGAUGCUGUUUUGUAAUAAUAAGGUUUCAAUGCAUGCUAAGCAUAGAAAUUUUGUUGUUUCUAUCUUGAAUAAUACUUCAUAUUAAUUAAAGUAGACAGCAUUCUGAUGAGAAGGGAAUUUUGUUUUCCUAGAAAUAUUCUGAAGAAAUAAAAUGCCAGCCAGAUUUAACAAGGUAAAUUCUGCUAUGUGAACAUCCAAUCCAGAUGUAUUAUGAACAGCUUUGUAUGGUAGUACAGAUGUACAUCAGGCAUAUUAACAGUGGUGGGUAUUUUAUUGUAAAGGAUAGAUUAUACAAAACCCUAACAGUAUUUGAAAACUUUUUUUUUUUUAUUUAGCACAUUUCAUCAGGGACCAUAAUGCUUAGCUAAAGUAUUAUAAAGAGUUCCCCCAGCAUUUUGUGAAGGGAAGCUAUAAUUCAGUUCUCCAAAGUUCUGAGAUCACCAGAAACAGAAUAAGGAAGGAGACUGGUAAUAAAAAUGUCUUUACCCAGGUGUAUGUGUGUCUGUGUGUGUGCGUGCGCAUUUGUAUUAAGGAAAUGAGAUCUGUUAACUAUAAAGCAGCUAAGUGGAGUCCAGAAGGGGUAGCCACUGCCUGUUUGGCUCUCUUAAACAGUCCCUCUUCUAUUUCCAGUUGGAAUAUUGGGGGCAGGGAGAUGGGGGAAUAUCAGGAGCUAUUUUUUCCCUUAUACCAUAUGCAUGUCAUGUAUAUAUUAAAUGUCUGCUUUCUGAAUGGCAAAAAUUAUCUAGAAAAUCAUGAGACAAAACAAAACCCCAUAACAUAAAACCAUACUUACAAAAUUAUAUCAUGGCAUGCUAAACAUUAAAUGUUUCCUUCAUCAAGAGGCCUUUUAUGUAGGGACAUGUUCAAAAUAUAUUCUUUAUAUAUAUGAAUUAAAACUCAAGAAGUUUUAAUAACUUGACAUAAACACUGAUUUCAAUGCCUGGCUAUUAAAGGCCAGAAAUAUUUGCUGAAUGCUCAACGACUAGAGGAUUCAUCAGCAAAGACACAAGUUCUCCCCUGCAAAAGUUAAUUUCUUUCUCAUAGCUCAUGAGCUCCUCCUUUUACAUUCUGACUCUAAAUUCUCUGUCCUUGUCAUAAAAUGUAACAUCUUUUUUUAAUCUGUCAAAUAAUAACAAUGAAAAGCCUGAGAAAACUUAACCUGAAAUCUGCAUGCUUUUAUCAAAUUGAUUAAUGCCUUCAUCUAUAAUGAAAUUAUCUUUCCUUCUAAUCAGAUUAUAAGUCACAAUAAAUUGAAUUUCAAGCCUUCUUUAUAUGAGUAUGUAUAUACAAAUCGUUAAUAUUCUACGCAUUAGUUAAGAGGCUUCGUUAUAUUCAGAUCAAAUUAAAUUUUCUUUAACACCAAAUUUUUAUAGGAUUUUUAGCUAAGUUAUUAGUAGAGUUAUCUGUAAGCAUCAGCUGGUAUCUUGAUAUUUGGUUAUUUAUAUGAAUAUACCAGGCAUUUCUGUGAAUUGUCACUAUCUAUCUGAACUCCAUUUCACAGCUCACAGGCUGUUUCUGGAGUUAACUCAAUGCUAAUAUUAGGCCAUCUGCAGGUGAUAAUUGCUGCACCAGAAAAAUUUUUGUUCCUCUUAACACACUUCUAAAAAAAGGUUACCAUAACUUGCAAGUUCAGUGGUUAAGAAUAUUAGACAAGUAGUAGUAAACAUGAUUUCCAGACCCAUUUUCUUCCCCAUUGGGACUGUUUCCAAAAGUGUAUAGCGAACAAUUUUAAUUCUUUCCUAAGAAGUAGACAAAAGUGGCCGGGCGCGGUGGCUCACGCCUGUAAUCCCAGCACUUUGGGAGGCCGAGGCGGCGGAUCACGAGGUCAGGAGAUCGAGACCAUCCCGGCUAAAACGGUGAAACCUCGUCUCUACUAAAAAUACAAAAAAUUAGCCGGGCGUAGUGGCGGGCGCCUGUAGUCCCAGCUACUUGGGAGGCUGAGGCAGGAGAAUGGCGUGAACCCGGGAGGCAGAGCUUGCAGUGAGCCGAGAUCCCGCCACUGCACUCCAGCCUGGGCGACAGAGCGAGACUCCGUCUCAAAAAAAAAAAAAAAAAAAGAAGUAGACAAAAGUUUCUACAAUUGUGCUUCUACAACAGUGAGAGUGUGAAAUCCUUGUCCUUGCAGGGAAAGUGUUUCCUCUUUAUAUACAUAUAUAUUUUCAGUGACAGUAUCAUUAAUCCUCACCACAAGAAAAUCCUAGAUGCCUAGAAUCUAAAGGGGAUAGUUUAAUAUAUAUGUUAUAUCACACUUAAGGUAUUGUUAUCACUUUAUAUGCAAGCUAGCCAAAAAGUAUACAAAUAUAUGAGGAAAAAUGAAUGUCUUGAUGACAGCUAAAUUUAGAAUUUGAUUCAAUGUCAAGAGUAAAAUAUUUACUAGUAUUUACUGGUAUAGCAAUGUAUAUUCUGGCUGGGAAAUAAAUAAGAGGCUUAUUUCGCUUAUACAAAAUCAAAAUCAGUACUAUUAGAUUAAGAUUAUUUAGAUGAUUAGAUUAUUCAGCAAAAAUGCAUUGGCUGGCCUAGAAAAUCCUUGAAAAUGUUAUAUUAAAAUGUAACCAUCUGCAGUUACGACUAAAAGUGACUUAAUUUCUUCUUAGUGUUUGUAUAUAUUUCUCAUACUUUUGGCAACAAUCUUGCAUUGUUUUUACAAUUAGAAAAGCCUCCACAAUCUUAUUUCUAAAAGAAACCUAAUAUGAAUAAAACUUUUUCUGUUUUACUCCUGUAGCGUCAGUAAUCAACAGUUUGUAGAAGGAACUUUAUUUUAUACCCAGGAGCCAAUGUAGAUUUUCCCACUCAUUAAUUUAGUAUGAAAAAUGAUACAAUAUAAGCAAAUUAUUCUCAUAUCAUGUAAUCUUUGGCAUUUGGUCAUUUUUUAGAGAGAACAGUACAAAGAAAACAUGAUUGCAUAAUGUUCAAAAAGACAAUCAAAAGCUCAAAUUAAAAGAUUACAUUAAAAUUCAAGAUGCUUUAAUCACCUGUAUUAUCAUAAUACACAUGGAGAGAAUAAAGUAUAACAACUCACCCUAGAAUCCAGGCAAAGCCCCUGGAAUCCAGGAUAUUCAUACCCAGAAUUAGGAUACCACAAAUAGCCACUUUGUCCACAUCUGCCCUCCCUCUACCCCAAAGAAACCUGCUUACCAUAAAUAGGAUCUGAAUCCAAGUAACUAAAAACGUACCCACACAAUUUGGAAGUAAACAAUUUCUUAGAUGCAAAUACCUUAAACAAGUUUUCAACUGUAAUCAUUAACAAUAAUUUUUCAAAAUCACAGUGUAACAGUGAAAAUAAUUACAGAAAGUGACAACAGUGUUACACAAUGCCUGGUUUGGAGAAAUUAGAUGGUAACUCCAUUGAAAAUCAUGCUACAAUGACACAGCACACAUUUCCUUUGGCAAACUGUGUAAUUUGAGCACCGCGGUAAAAAAGAACACAACUUAAUUAGAAAUUCUUAGAAUCUCACCUGUAUAGCUAAUAGAAUAUUUAUUGCACAGUGGGUGGAAAGCUUAAUUAGACAAAGUUUCUAAGAGUGCUUUGAGAUCUCCAAGUAUUAUUUGAUUUCCCUUUUUAUUAAUGUUAAGUUUUUGUGAAAGUUAAGAGCCCUGCCUUGCCAUUUUCCCAGCUCCAUAUUACUUAACCUUAAAUUCAAUCCUAUAUCAUUCAAAAUAAAAUUUUUCCUUUUGUAAUAAAUUUGGUUUGAUCUACAUUAAUUUAUCAAAAGAAAAAGAACUUUUCAGAACAAAGAGCUCCAUGCCAAUUAAUAAUGAUUCCAAAGCCAUAAUUCAUAAACUCUAAACAAAAUUUU
This 5847-nucleotide long non-coding RNA is filed under the name Homo sapiens (human). RNAcentral's name for it is "HSALNT0362484". The record is from RNAcentral. Lineage: Eukaryota; Metazoa; Chordata; Mammalia; Primates; Hominidae.